This 548-nucleotide ribosomal RNA is filed under the name uncultured fungus. Its description in RNAcentral is "eukaryotic LSU rRNA". The stretch from base 206 to 359 matches the Rfam family "5.8S ribosomal RNA". Lineage: Eukaryota; Fungi. The record is from RNAcentral.
AAGUCGUAACAAGGUUUCCGUAGGUGAACCUGCGGAAGGAUCAUUACAGAGUUCAUGCCCUCACGGGUAGACCUCCCACCCUUGAAUACUAUACCUUUGUUGCUUUGGCGGGCCGCUUCGGCUACUGGCUCCGGCUAGUAAGUGCCCGCCAAAGGACCCCGAAACUCUGAAUAUUAGUGUCGUCUGAGUACUAUAUAAUAGUUAAAACUUUCAACAACGGAUCUCUUGGUUCUGGCAUCGAUGAAGAACGCAGCGAAAUGCGAUAAGUAAUGUGAAUUGCAGAAUUCAGUGAAUCAUCGAAUCUUUGAACGCACAUUGCGCCCCUUGGUAUUCCGAGGGGCAUGCCCGUUCGAGCGUCAUUAUAACCCCUCAAGCCUAGCUUGGUGUUGGGGCCUGCUGUUACCGGCAGCCCUUAAAAUCAGUGGCGGUGCCAUCUGGCUCUAAGCGUAGUAAUACUUCUCGCUACAGGGUCCUGGUGGAUGCUUGCCAUCAACCCCUAAUUUUCUAUGGUUGACCUCGGAUCGGGUAGGGAUACCCGCUGAACUUAA